GCGGAAGGGGGGCAGCCACCGCAGAGCCGUACCGCGAGAAGGCCUUGGGGCAAUGGGCGCAGGCGUAGGGCCGGUGCACGGCGCCCUGGUGGCCGCGGAGGUGGUGGCCCAUGCGGUCCUUCCGCUUGAAGCGCUGCUGGCACACCGGGCACUGGAACGGCCGCUCGUCCGAAUGGGCCAAACGGUGGCGCCGGAGGUGAUAAACGUCGCGGAAGGCUUUGCCGCACGCCUCGCACGCGUGGCUCUUCCGUUUGCGGGCGCUUCCGGCGCCGCUUCCGGUCGUGCCGUCCGACAGCGCCCCCACGAGGAUGGGAGGGGCGGCCGCGGCGGAGCCGUCCGGGAGCAACGAGACGGAGGAAGGGGCGGCGUUCGGGCCUUGCGACAGCGCCCCCGCGAGGCCGGGAGGUCUGGCGCCGUGCGUGGCUUGGUGGCGCCGCAGGUUGUAACCGUUCUUGAACUCUUUGGCGCACUGAGCGCACACGUAGGGCCCUUUGCUUUUGGACUUCCGGGUCGGAGGGGUCGCUUCCGGCGCUUGAGAGAGGGGGACUUCCGGUGCGGGCACGGGGGCUUCCGGUGGGGGGGGGGCGGGUUUUAGAGCGCCCGGGUCCACCGUGGAGGCGGCGGCGGUGGCGGGGGAGGGGUCGGGAAGCAGCGCGGGGAGCAGCUCCGACGGGGGGAGGGCGUCCGGGGGCGGGGCCACCGCGGGGGGCGGGGCCGGCUGGAAGAUGAAGCUGCUCCAUCCACCCGCGUCCAUGGCGGCCGCCGGGCCGGGAUGGGCGGGGCUCCGCGCCCCACGCCGCGCUCCGAUUGGCUCAGGCCCCGCCCCGGCCGCGCUCCGAUUGGCCGCGCCGCUCGCCCGUCACCGCCCCCCCCCCCUCCCCUCCCCGUUCCCUUCCUCCUCCCGCGCCGCUCCUCCGCCGCCGCCGCCGCCGCGCGCAAAAUGG
Molecule: long non-coding RNA, 944 nt
Filed under: Gallus gallus (chicken)
Lineage: Eukaryota; Metazoa; Chordata; Aves; Galliformes; Phasianidae
Source: RNAcentral